This is a long non-coding RNA of Mustela erminea (ermine), 4095 nucleotides long. RefSeq lists it as uncharacterized. The transcript is spliced from 7 exons. The record is from RefSeq and is a predicted model, not a curated record. Lineage: Eukaryota; Metazoa; Chordata; Mammalia; Carnivora; Mustelidae.
UCUGAGGAAGAAGGGGGCAAGGCAGAGGCUGUGAGGACCGCUUCUGUAGCAGGGUGUGCCCGGGUGCCCUGGCCAGAGCCCGGAUUUGCCUGCAGCACUGCUCCCCUCUCUGGGAGUCUGACAGUCUGAGGGAGGGUCUCUGCGAGGUAGGCAGCCCAAGGGGGUAAGGCCUAGUGCUGCCGCCUCCAGGCUGGGGGCCCCAGCGAGGCACGGAACCAACCCGGCCUUCCCACCUGUAAAGCGGGACUAUGGAAAGCGCCUCCCACAUGUGUUGCCCGAAGGAUUCCGUGAGAGGCUAGCUCUGUGCAGAGCCUGACGCACCGAGCGGUCCCCCACACGCCAGCUACUGUUAUUUUUAUCUCUGUCCCCCUGGAUGGGGGACUGUCCCAUUUCUGAGUCUUCCUUCGCGUUGUCCCCUCCUCCUGGAAUGACAUUUACCUACAUUUGUUUGUUUGAUUGAUUGUCCAUUCAUUCACUCCCUCAUAUAUACAUUCAGUAAACACUGGCACCUUCUCUAGUCCUGGAUGCUGGGGAGAAGUCAUGAACGAGACUCACUGUCUGCUCUGGGGAGCCUGUAGCUUUCUGGGGGGGGGAUCCCUGCUUUGCCUCUCAACCUCUCAUAAUCUAACCAAGCCCCCUGCCCCAUGCCACCUCCCCCAGGAAGCCCUUCUGGAUUGCUUCCCACAUCCUGUCUGUCUGCCUUUCUUAUUAGCCUCAUCUGGCAUCAGGAGGAAGUCACUCGGGCCACAGGCCCUUCCACCCAGGCCUAGAGGCUAAGGGCACUCCCUCUCCAUGGAGGCUGGAUGUGUGGAAACAGGACGCGUUUGGUGCACAGACAACGCGCAGGAAUGGGAAGGGGGAACGUGUACAGAUGCGGUCUGAGCAACAGGACACAGCCCACCCCCGCACAAACAAGAGCUGGUGGAGAAGAGAUGUUAGCCAGAUUCCGUGGGUCCUUCCUGCUGCAGAUUCUGAGCUGAGCUCUUGACCUGUAUUAAUUCACUCUUCACAGAGACCCUGGAAGAUGAUACCACUGAGGCCCUCGCUCCCGAUGGCGGAGCGAGAACUGCCUCUGAGCACACAGUCCGCCGGGAGACCCCUUGCGGGACCAGGGCUCUGGAAUCAGCGCCCACCACGGUCCUCCCUCCAGAUACGUAAGGCCAGAUGGGAAGGGGAUGAGCCGGGCAUACCCUUAUGGGUCAGUUCCCUGCACUGCUAGCCUGGCCUGCCCUGCCCCAGCCAGCACCAGGAAGUUUCCAUGCAGGUAGGUCAGCGACCAUCUGCUCACCUCUGGGAGGGCAUCAUCUAAAGAAAGUGAGGGAACUUCCCACCAACAAAGUGAUGAGAGCAGGGUCUGGUGCAUGGUUGUGCAUGUGUUGUUAGUCCAUGUGUUAGUGAUCCUUACUAUUUAACCAAUACUGAUGCCUAAGGGCCUGGGAGGACCUUGAACCCUUCAAGAUGAAGUCCCUAUUUUGAGAAGCUCAUGUCUAGAAUGGGAGACAGGUAGGGCAUUGGUGUGGUAGGAGCUACAACAGAAGUGGGGGCAGGCAGCGGGGCAGAAGUAGGGAAGAGAGGCUGGCUCUUUACUGUGGGGAGGGGGGCAUCAGAAAACCCUUCUGAGGAGAGGGGCUAGAGUCUUGAAGAAAAAGUGAGACAGUCAAAUGGGCGGGGGGUGGGGGAAGGUGGUCCAAAGUGAGAGAAGCCCAGGCAAAGUAUGGAGGUGAGAGAUGGGGUACUUUGAGGGGGCGCUGUGGUCCUUCUCUGUGAUGGAAGGUGAGAUCGGGUUGAGGAGCUGGUGCCAGGAGAGGCUGACGUUCCAACAGGGCUUGGAUAGCGGAGCAUUUUCGGUGCCGGGAAUAAAUACAGAACUGAAGUGAAUUGAAAUCUUUUGAAAAUGGGCACAAGGUUCUCCCCAGGUCCUGGACUGAGUGUUUGCAGUGAAGCUCAAAGGAAUAGACAGUAGAAUCUUUGGGUUCCCCACACAGGUCAUGACAUCAUCCCAUGUGGAGUUCGAAGCUGGGCAGGGGGAAAGGCACCCUCAACCCACAUUGAACCUCACUGUGGACCAAAGAGGCAGCUGGGGCAGGAGUCGCUGUCCCCACUGCAAAGAGGCAGAGCCCAGACCCCUGACUCAAGCUCAGCCAGGGCCACAGUCCACAGGAGGAAUGGAGCCUCAUCUGGAUGGAGGGAGCAUCUCGUGACAUCCCCACCCUUCAGAUGCUCUUUCCUCCCCGAAACUGCCAAAGGGCUGAGCAAUGACUUGGCACUGAGCAGGGCUUCCCGCCCCAAGGAGUGGUGGGAGGGGCCCCGUCCCCCAACGAUCAGCUGUCAGCUUUGUCAUCCUCUAUUCUCUCCACUGCUGCUGUCAUCAGGCCUUGUGUGACAGGCUAGGAGGCAGGUGGGGCCAGACUGGCGGUGGAGGGAGCUGAGAGUCAGGCAGAGGCGUUUGGCCUUGGUUGCUAUAGGGAUAAUCAUUAUAAUGACAUCCUUGACGUGUGUCAUGCCUUGCAGUUUCACUGAACAUUUCCGAGAAUAACAGCGCCCAUUAAUGGCUAGCUCACUGUGUGCCGGCUCUGUCCCCUAGCAGGUGGGAAUUGUUAGCCCCAUUUUACAGAUGAGGAACCCUGGGCGGGCGGGCAGAGAGGUUAAAUUCUUGCCUAAGACCCGCAGCUAGGAAGAGGCAGAACUUGAGUUUGAACCCAGGUCUGGCCACACGGCAGGGCUCUCUCAUCUAUACUUCCUUCGGCCGGGAGACUCCGUUGUGAGCCCAGCAAGUGAUCUGCUUCCUUCGUUCCACUGGGAGCUGAGGCUCAGGAUGAUAGGUCCGAUUGACCGCCUGGCUGGACAAAGAGGGCAAAAGAAGGGAAAUGGAGCAGGGACAAGAGGAAGGAAGGUUGGUUGACUCGAAAGAAUAAACAAACCGAAGAAACAAGAAAGGGAUAAGCGACCGCCCAGGUGAGAUUACAGUGCGUGACCCAGUGGCAGGGUCAGCAGGCAGGGGACCGCCCUCCUGCUUCCUUCCGCUCCAAGGACCCCUGGCCUUGGCCCCUUGGCCGCCUCUUAGACCCCCUGACCCCACCCUCCCCGAGCCCGGGAGUCCCCUGCUGCCCCAGCCGGGUCUCUGCUGCCGCCGUGUGGCUCCUCUUCUCCCUGCACCAUUCCCACGGCGGCUUGCCCGGUGGCUGGGAGCUCCUGGCUUGGGGUGUGGGGUGCUCACGAGUGGCUGGCAGAUGGGGGAAGUGGGUGCCGGGGGUGGAGUGGAACUUCAGAGGUCCAGUCAUGCCCCUUGGAGUGGCUUGGCAAGGUACACAGGCUCUUUGCUCCUCAUGCUUCCCUACGUGCCCUCCCCCUCCCUUUUAUCUCGAACCCAGGUCCCAGGAGGUCUGUCUUUGGCCAGAACCCUUCCACCCAAAGCCCGGACCUCUUGUUUACGGAGCAUCUCCUGAGUCCUGGACACGUGGCAUGUAUUGCUUUAUUCCCUCCUAUUACGUAUAAUUCUUAUCCUCCUUUGACAAGUAAUGAAACAGAGGCCCAGAGAGGACAGAUGAUUUGCCCAAGAUCCCACAGCUGGCAGGGAAACUGAAGCUCUCAAGAGGAAGGGACCUGUCGCACAGUGAGAAAGCUGCAGGCCCAGUCUGCGGCAGUGGGAGCCCGGAAGAGCCUCUUCUCCCAUUUCCGUCUGUCUGUCUGUCAGAUCCAUUCCACUCCAGCCGCCGUUUAACUGGACGGAGCUCAGGGCUGGGAGCGCGGGCCUCCGGUCCUCGGCUCCUCUCCCCGACCUGUCAUCAUGGAUCCUGGCAUAGUCGGCCCCGGGCAGGAGAGAGGAAGCCAAGGUCUGAGCGGAGGUGGGUUGUGGGCGGCGCAAGGACGCAGCCCCGCCCCCUGUAGACGUGGGCAGGUGGACAGGCCCCCUCAACCCGCGUUGAGCCUCACUGUGGACCAAAGAGGCAGCUGGGGCACCCCCAGCUGUCACUGUCCCCACUGCAAAGAGGCGGAGCCAGCGUGGUCAGGGCAUGGCUCCCAUCCUGUCCUCACAGCCCCCAGAGCUCUGCCACGGGGGCAUUCAGCACUGAGCAGAUCCCCAGGACUGGGGAG